GAUGAAGAACGCAGCAAAAUGCGAUAAGUAAUGUGAAUUGCAGAAUUCAGUGAAUCAUCGAGUCUUUGAACGCACAUUGCGCCCCCUGGUAUUCCGGGGGGCAUGCCUGUCCGAGCGUCAUUGCUGCCCUCAAGCACGGCUUGUGUGUUGGGCCUCCGUCCUCCUCCCGGGGGACGGGCCCGAAAGGCAGCGGCGGCACCGCGUCCGGUCCUCGAGCGUAUGGGGCUUCGUCACCCGCUCUUGUAGGCCCGGCCGGCGCUUGCCGACACAUCAAUCUUUUUUCCAGGUUGACCUCGGAUCAGGUAGGGAUACCCGCUGAACUUAAGCAUAUCAAUAGCGGAGGA
This 344-nucleotide unclassified non-coding RNA is filed under the name soil metagenome. Its description in RNAcentral is "partial contains 5.8S ribosomal RNA, internal transcribed spacer 2, and large subunit ribosomal RNA". The stretch from base 1 to 120 matches the Rfam family "5.8S ribosomal RNA", at positions 35 to 154 of the family's 154-position model. The record is from RNAcentral.